RNAcentral lists this ribosomal RNA (496 nucleotides) under uncultured bacterium. RNAcentral describes it as "partial 16S ribosomal RNA". It matches the Rfam family "Bacterial small subunit ribosomal RNA", at positions 28 to 507 of the family's 1533-position model. The record is from RNAcentral.
GAUGAACGCUGGCGGCGUGCCUAAUACAUGCAAGUCGAGCGAACAGACGCGGAGCUUUCUCCUCUGACGUUAGCGGCGGACGUGUUAGUAACACGUGUGAACCUACCUAUAAGACAGGGACACGUUCGGGAAACCGGUGCCACUACCGGACAAUAUAUUGAACCGCAGGGUUCAAUAGUGAAACACGGUUUUGCCGUCACUUAUCGAUUGAUCCGCGUCGUAUUAGCUAGUUGGUAAGGUAACGGCUUACCAAGGCAACGAUGCGUAGCCGACCUGAGAGGGCGAUCGGCCACACUGGAACUGAGACACGGCCCAGACUCCUACGGGAGGCAGCAGUAGGGAAUCUUCCACAAUGGGCGAAAGCUUGACGGAGCAACGCCGCGUGAAUGAAGAAGGUCUUCGGAUCGUAAAACGCUGUUAUUAGGGAAGAACAAAUGUGGAAGAAAAUAUGCACGUAUUGACGGUACCGAAAGAGAAAGCCACGGCUAACUACGUG